Molecule: long non-coding RNA, 1012 nt
Filed under: Parus major (Great Tit)
Lineage: Eukaryota; Metazoa; Chordata; Aves; Passeriformes; Paridae
Description: lncRNA (ENSPMJG00000004886.1)
Source: RNAcentral
UUAAAAAACAACAAAAUAAUUAACCACCAGUACAGCCCUGUGUUUUUUUUCUCUUUGGCAGCCCCUCAGAGACGCAGUUUCCCAUCACUUGACUUCCAGACCAAGCAGCACCAGCAAUAACCAGCAGCUCUGCCAUGGCUGAGCUGCAGCAGCCCUGGGCCAGGACACACACAGCCCCCAGGACAGGACACCCCGGGGUGAGCUGCUGCUGAGCACCCUGAGCUCCCUCAUCCCUGCUGAAACCUCCCACUCCACUCCUGAACUUCUCCAGGAGGCUUUCCAGAGGGAGUUCCUCCACUGGCCACCCUCAGGAGGACAGAUGGGCUGGUGUGGCCUGGACAAAGAGGCUGCUUUGCUGCAGGAACACAUCACACCACCACAUACCUCACCCCAAUUAGCGCAAACCCGCCUGGGCCUUAAUUGGGCCUGACACGCGCCCGCUGAAAGAGAUUCCCCAGGAAUUAAAGCGCUACUUCUCUAGUUUGAGUUGGCUGGUGAUGUGAAACAUGACAUGAUCUUGGAGGAUUUUCUGUGCUUGCCAUGAAACAAGCCUGCCACAGGUAUCAAGCGGGCUUUGUGUUGGGGCUGUAAUCAUGUUACAAAUUGAACGCUUCCACAUGUGCGUGCUGGCACAUCCACCCUCGGCUAUCUCACACGUAUCUGCCCCAAGGUACAGAUGCUGAGGUCCUGACAUAGCAUAAUAUGGAUCUAAAUAUAUUUUCCAGAUUGCCUUAGCACAUGCUAAUGAAAAUGAGGAGUAAAAGGCCCGAAAGAAGCAGCUGUUUAAAAUUUUCUUCAAUCCCUGAAAAUCAACUUCUUAAUUACUGAUAAUUUAAGCAUCAAAAUCACCACUAACCCUCUUCUCCCACUAGACCCUCCCAAGCUGGGAGGCCUGCUUGAAGACUCUUGGGCAAAACUUUUUCUUAGAAGUGUAGCAUUUCAUCAAAUGUCUUUAGCUUUUCUGGAAUUAAUUAGUAUUAAAAUAAAGCAGGGAAAAGGCAAGUGCCUGCCA